AAAUUAUACAGGCUAAUGGUUGAUCAGAUUUAUUUCUCAACUGUCAGACAUAUUCACAAAUGCGGGCAAGAUGUUAUUUGUUGAUAGUAAUACUGCCAGUGUUGGAGAGAAAUGCACAACUGUGCUGUUGAAUUUAAAAUUUAGGUCGGCCUAACUGCUUCCGCCGAGAUGCUUUUUAAACCUGAAAUUAAUUAGGAACUGUUCGAGGAGUUUGACAAGAGUGACUUCAUGGACUGGGAUUUCAAAGAAGUUCUCGAGCAGGUUAUUUCACGUAGCGCAAGGCAAGACAUUGACAAGCGUCAACGAGCAACAGUACCACUGCUAAUGAGACUCAGCACGCAACCUGCAUUGCCAUCUGAGUACCUAGCCUGCCUGCCUGGGCUGAGAGCAGGCUCUACACUUCCAUCCUCCUUUUCAUCCUCUGCUGGUCAUCCUACCGACUUCCCUGAGACCUGUGGCCUGCCUCAGCCAUCACACGCUGGCCAUGAGGAGGAAUGAGAGCCAGUUCCAGGGUGCCGACUCCUUCCUGAUGGUAUGCAAAUUGGCCGUGUCCCUGGUGGGAGUGUACCUGGCAAGCCUGGAAGUACUGAAUCAGUUUAUGUUUGUACAGUGACAUUAUGCUGCAAGAUUUUGUUCUUAUGAAUAUUGUCUGAUUAUUCUUCAUAAAAUUAAUAAAAAGUCUUCAUAAGUUCGAUCUUA
This is a long non-coding RNA of Anguilla anguilla (European eel), 699 nucleotides long. RefSeq lists it as uncharacterized. The record is from RefSeq and is a predicted model, not a curated record. The transcript has 2 exons. Lineage: Eukaryota; Metazoa; Chordata; Actinopteri; Anguilliformes; Anguillidae.